GCAAUGGUAGUUCAGUGGUAGAAUUUUCACCUUCCAUGUGGGAGACUCAGGUUCGCUUUCCGGCCAAUGCA
This 71-nucleotide transfer RNA is filed under the name Loxodonta africana (African savanna elephant). It matches the Rfam family "tRNA". From Rfam's summary of the family: Transfer RNA (tRNA) molecules are approximately 80 nucleotides in length. Lineage: Eukaryota; Metazoa; Chordata; Mammalia; Proboscidea; Elephantidae. The record is from Rfam by way of RNAcentral.